GAUGAACGCUGACAGCAUGCCUAACACAUGCAAGUCAUUCGCACAGCUGCGCUUGCUCCGUCUCUCCUAUUCGCGCGGGUCAGUAACGCAUCACGAACAUGCCCUGCCUACAAGACUGACAUACCUUCGCGACUGCUAACACCUUACCUUAUCAUGCUUGCGCCUGCCUGCCUGAUGAAAGAAGACGCUUCGUGAGAGCCUUUCGUCCUGUUAGCUAGCUGGUGGGGUUACGGCCCACCAAGGCGAUGAUACGUAGCCGGCCUGAUAGGGGGAACGGCCACAAGGGGAAUGAGAUACGGCACUUACGCAUACGGGAGGAAGCAGUGGGGAAUAUUGGAGAAUGGGGGCAACCCUGAUCCAGCAAUUCUGUGUGCACGAAGAAGGUUUUAGGAUUGUAAAGUGCUGUCAGCAGGGAAGAAGAAAGUGACGGUACCUGCAGAAGAAGCGACGGCUAAAUACGUG
Molecule: ribosomal RNA, 462 nt
Filed under: uncultured bacterium
Lineage: Bacteria
Description: partial 16S ribosomal RNA
Rfam family: Bacterial small subunit ribosomal RNA
Source: RNAcentral